RNAcentral lists this ribosomal RNA (253 nucleotides) under uncultured bacterium. RNAcentral describes it as "partial 16S ribosomal RNA". It matches the Rfam family "Bacterial small subunit ribosomal RNA", at positions 524 to 776 of the family's 1533-position model. The record is from RNAcentral.
UACGAAGGGGGCUAGCGUUGCUCGGAAUCACUGGGCGUAAAGCGCACGUAGGCGGAUUGCUAAGUCAGGGGUGAAAUCCUGGAGCUCAACUCCAGAACUGCCUUUGAUACUGGCGGUCUCGAGUCCGGGAGAGGUGAGUGGAACUGCGAGUGUAGAGGUGAAAUUCGUAGAUAUUCGCAAGAACACCAGUGGCGAAGGCGGCUAUCUGGACGGUUUCUGACGCUAAGACGCGAAAGCGUGGGGAGCAAACAGG